RNAcentral lists this ribosomal RNA (253 nucleotides) under uncultured bacterium. RNAcentral describes it as "partial 16S ribosomal RNA". It matches the Rfam family "Bacterial small subunit ribosomal RNA", at positions 524 to 776 of the family's 1533-position model. The record is from RNAcentral.
UACGUAGGAUCCGAGCGUUGUCCGGAUUUACUGGGUGUAAAGGGUGCGCAGGCGGACUGGUAAGUCAGAGGUGAAAUCUCGCCGCUCAACGGCGAAACUGCCUUUGAUACUAUCAGUCUUGAAUCCGGUAGAGAUCUGUGGAAUUCCGAGUGUAGCAGUGAAAUGUGUAGAUAUUCGGAAGAACACCAGUGGCGAAGGCAGCAGAUUGGGCCGGUAUUGACGCUCAGGCACGAAAGCACGGGGAUCAAACAGG